CAUGGCAGCAGGGAGGCGCUGUGUCGUUCGCUCGCGUGAAGUUUGAUUAAUUUACAGUUAAAAAAAGCAAAUCUACCAAACGAGUGUGUUCCAGUGCAUUGAUUGAAGAUGUAAUGUGUUCAUUCUUGUGCUUAAGGAGAAUCAUCCUAGCAGUUUUGUGAAUGUGUGAAUUGUUUCUUCUGGCUACACUCUACACAGCUACGCAUAGUAGCAGCAGGGAAGGAAAAGCCCGCUGCUCUAUCUGGCCGGAAAAUACCUCGAACCAGCGAGAGAGAAAGAGAGAAAUAGUGUAAAUUGUAACCUAAAGUGAGCAAAAGAAAAGAAGGAAAUUGCAAAGCUAAAAGCCGCAGGCCAGAGAAUCAUCGCGACGCAAAUAAUUCGAGCGAGAAUAAAAGGUUUGUAGGUGCAAAGUGUCGAAAUGUACGUGUGGUGGUAAAACCGGGAAAAGUAGUGGUGUUUCAAAUGCAAAAUGCAUUUUUUUGCUGAUCCGCACUAAAAGCAAAGCGUUGUGAAAGCGAAUGAAAGAAGAGUUGAAGUAAAUUAGGCAGAAGGUUAAGCAAGAGGGGGAGAGCGAGUGAGCUGGGGUUGUUGUGGUGAGCAUAUUUCCUAGAAUCGCAUCGUCCUUCGGAAGUUAAUCCUUCUUCCUCGUGCGUGGUCUGUUUCCUUUCAUCUGUGUGUACGUGUGUGCGUUUAAUAGUGAUCACUGCGUCAGAAUGUGAAUGAUUUGAUAUGGUGUUUCCCACGUUGUGCGUUGCUCGGGCAGCCGUGGCUCACUGAGAUGAUGGUGGGUUGCUGCUGCAGCGACACAAGCGUCAGCAUAAAACCAUCCGAGACGAAGCCGGAGAUGCACCC
Long non-coding RNA from Anopheles moucheti, 852 nucleotides. RefSeq lists it as uncharacterized. The record is from RefSeq and is a predicted model, not a curated record. The transcript has 3 exons. NCBI's taxonomy places the organism in Eukaryota, Metazoa, Arthropoda, Insecta, Diptera, Culicidae.